This 306-nucleotide ribosomal RNA is filed under the name Amoebophrya sp. Its description in RNAcentral is "SSU rRNA". It matches the Rfam family "Eukaryotic small subunit ribosomal RNA", at positions 595 to 906 of the family's 1831-position model. The record is from RNAcentral. Lineage: Eukaryota; Dinophyceae; Syndiniales; Amoebophryaceae.
UAGCGUAUAUUAAAGUUGUUGCGGUUAAAAAGUUCGUAGUUGGAUUUCUGUCGGGGACCUCCGGUCCGCACUAUGUGCGUGUAUCUGUAGGGCUCUGGCAUCCUUCCGAAAGACGUUGCUAUGCUUAAUUGCACGGUGCGGAGUUCGGAACUUUUACUUUGAGGAAAUUAGAGUGUUCACGGCAGGCCAAUGCCAUGAAUAUAUUAGCAUGGAAUAAUAAUAUAGGAUUUCGGUUCUAUUUUGUUGGUUUCUAGGGCUGAAAUAAUGAUUAAUAGGGACAAUUGGGGGCAUUCGUAUUAACACGUC